Molecule: ribosomal RNA, 301 nt
Filed under: uncultured bacterium
Lineage: Bacteria
Description: partial 16S ribosomal RNA
Rfam family: Bacterial small subunit ribosomal RNA
Source: RNAcentral
CAGCAGCCGCGGUAAUACGGAGGGUGCAAGCGUUAAUCGGAAUUACUGGGCGUAAAGCGUGCGUAGGCGGUUCGUUAAGUCUGUUGUGAAAGCCCCGGGCUCAGCCUGGGAAUGGCAAUGGAUACUGGCGAGCUAGAGUGUGUCAGAGGAUGGUGGAAUUCCCGGUGUAGCGGUGAAAUGCGUAGAGAUCGGGAGGAACAUCAGUGGCGAAGGCGGCCAUCUGGGACAACGCUGACGCUGAGGCACGAAAGCGUGGGGAGCAAACAGGAUUAGAGAACCGCGUAGUCCCUGUCUCUUAUAC